GACGAACCGUGCGAACGUUGUUCGGAAUCACUGGGCUUAAAGGGCGCGUAGGCGGGCGAACGAGUCGGAGGUGAAAUCCCACGGCCCAACCGUGGAAGUGCCCCCGAUACUGCUCGUCUGGAGGGAGAUAGGGGCGUGCGGAACUUCCGGUGGAGCGGUGAAAUUCGUAGAUAUCGGGAGGAACACCAGUGGCGAAGGCGGCGAUCUGGGGAGAUACUGACGCUGAGGUGCGAAAGCGUGGGGAGCAAACAGG
This 253-nucleotide ribosomal RNA is filed under the name uncultured bacterium. RNAcentral describes it as "partial 16S ribosomal RNA". It matches the Rfam family "Bacterial small subunit ribosomal RNA", at positions 524 to 776 of the family's 1533-position model. The record is from RNAcentral.